RNAcentral lists this transfer RNA (72 nucleotides) under Camelus bactrianus (Bactrian camel). It matches the Rfam family "tRNA". From Rfam's summary of the family: Transfer RNA (tRNA) molecules are approximately 80 nucleotides in length. RNAcentral also lists the same sequence under 2 other names. The record is from Rfam by way of RNAcentral. Lineage: Eukaryota; Metazoa; Chordata; Mammalia; Artiodactyla; Camelidae.
GGUAGAAUAGCUCAGUGGUAGAGUGCAUGCUUAGCAUGCAUGAGGUCCUGGGUUCAAUCCCCAAUAACUCCU